RNAcentral lists this ribosomal RNA (398 nucleotides) under uncultured bacterium. RNAcentral's name for it is "bacterial SSU rRNA". It matches the Rfam family "Bacterial small subunit ribosomal RNA", at positions 490 to 890 of the family's 1533-position model. The record is from RNAcentral.
GCACCGGCUAACUACGUGCCAGCAGCCGCGGUAAUACGUAGGGUGCGAGCGUUGUCCGGAUUUAUUGGGCGUAAAGAGCUCGUAGGCGGUUGAUCGCGUCGGAAGUGAAAACCUGGGGCUUAACCCUGGGCGUGCUUUCGAUACGGGUUGACUUGAGGAAGGUAGGGGAGAAUGGAAUUCCUGGUGGAGCGGUGGAAUGCGCAGAUAUCAGGAGGAACACCAGUGGCGAAGGCGGUUCUCUGGACCUUUCCUGACGCUGAGGAGCGAAAGCGUGGGGAGCAAACAGGCUUAGAUACCCUGGUAGUCCACGCUGUAAACGAUGAGUGCAAGGUGUUGGGGGUCAAACCUCGGUGCCGCCGUUAACACAGUAAGCACUCCGCCUGGGGAGUACGUACGCA